AGUGAACGCUGGCGGUAGGCCUAAUACAUGCAAGUCGAACGGCCGCACAGUAAGAGUUCUCUCCUACGGGUGGCGAGUGGCGGACGGGUGAGGAAUACAUCGGAAUCUACUUUUACUUGGGGGACAACGUGGGGACACAUCUGCUACUACCUCAUAUUAUCAACGGGUUAAAUCAAGAGUUCUUCGCACUUUUCCUGACAGUUAUAGCUGAUGUCGCAUUAGCUAGUUGGCGAGGUAAAGGCACACCAAGGCAACGAUGCGUAGCUGGUCUGAGAGGAUGAUCGGCCACACUGGAACUGAGACACGGUCCAGACUCCUACGGGAGGCAGCAGUAGGGAAUCUUCGGCAAUGGGCGAAAGCCUGAUCGAGCCAUGCCGCGUGAGUGAAGAAGGCCUUCGGAUUGUAAAGCCCUUUUGUUAGGGAAGAAAAGCAGCAUAUGAAUACCCCCAUGUUCUGACGGUACCCAAAGAGUAAGCAACGGCUAACUUCGUG
Molecule: ribosomal RNA, 492 nt
Filed under: uncultured bacterium
Lineage: Bacteria
Description: partial 16S ribosomal RNA
Rfam family: Bacterial small subunit ribosomal RNA
Source: RNAcentral